Molecule: ribosomal RNA, 3104 nt
Filed under: Parcubacteria bacterium GBS-2
Lineage: Bacteria; Candidatus Parcubacteria
Description: bacterial LSU rRNA
Rfam family: Bacterial large subunit ribosomal RNA
Source: RNAcentral
UGGGUGGAUGGAGGAUGCCUUGGGUGCGGGGAGCGAUGAAGGGCGUGGCGUAGCUGCGAUAAGCCCGGGGGAGGUGCGUAGCAACCUGUGAUCCCGGGAUUCCCGAAUGGGGAAACCUGGGUGGGAAAACCCCACUCAUCCUUCCAGGAGAAUUCCUGGGGAGGCGAGACCCGGGGAAGUGAAACAUCUCAGUACCCGGAGGAAAAGAAACCAAAAGGUAUUCCCUGAGUAGCGGCGAGCGAAAAGGGAGGAGCCCAAACCCCCCCAGAUAUACAUCUGGGGGGAGGUUGUGGGGGUAAGACGGAGGAGAAAAUCCUCAGAGAGUUAUAAAUUCUCUCUCUAGCCGAAAGAUCCUGGAACGGACUGCCAUAGAGGGUGAAAGCCCCGUAGGCGAAAGGGAGAGAACUCUCAGGUCUUAUACCCCGAGUACCACGAGGCCAAGAAAACCUUGUGGGAAGCAGGGAGGACUACCUCCCAAGGCUAAAUAUCUCCCGCACACCGAUAGUGCACUAGUACCGUGAGGGAAAGGUGAAAAGUACCCCGGUGAGGGGGGUGAAACAGAACCUGAAACCAUCCACUCACAAGGAGCAGGAGGGGAGAAAAUUCUCCCUGACUGCGUACCUAUUGGAGCAGGAGCCAACGAGUUCUCAUUCUCCCCAUGUCUAAGGGGUGAUCCCCCGUAGGCAGAGUGAAAGCGAGGGUGAAUAGCCCGUUAGGGGAGGGUGAGAGACCCGAAGCCGAGCGAGCUUGCCCUGGCCAGGGUGAAGGGAAGAGAAAUCUUCCUGGAGGCCCGAACCCGUGGGUUGUGCAAAACCUUGGGAUGAGCUGGGGCAAGGAGUGAAAGGCUAAACUAGCUCGGGAAUAGCUGGUUCUCCCCGAAAUAUGUUUGGGCAUAGCGUCAGGAGUUUGCAGAUGGCGGUAGAGCACUGGAAGGAAUAUCGUGGUUUUUGCCAGAUAUUCCUACCAAACUCCGAAUGCUAUCUGCUAACAUCCUGGCAGUCAGACUUAGGGCGAUAAGGUCCUAGGUCGAGAGGGGAACAACCCAGACCCCAAUCUAAGGUCCCUAAGUGAGGGCUAAGUGCUAAAAGAAGGAAGUGGGGUCCCUUAGAUAACUGGAAGGUGAGCUUAGAAGCAGCUAUCCUUUAAAAAGUGCGUAACAGCUUACCAGUUGAGGGACCCUGCGCCGAAGAUUUAACGGGGCUUAAGCUCUCCACCGAAGAUGGGGAGCCAUUGCUCCGCAAUGGAAGCACCAAAUUCCAAGCACCAAAUCAUAAAUUAAUAAUGUUUGGAAUUUGGAUUUUGUGAUUUGGAAUUUCACUGCGGAGCAGUGGUUGGUAGGGGAGCGUCGCCACCGGGUUGAAGUCAAGCCGUGAGGCUUGGUGGACUGGUGGCGAGUGCGGAUGUUGGCAUGAGUAACCGCAACCUGGGUGAAAGCCCCAGGGGCCGAAAGCCCAAGGUUUCCGUGGCAACGGUGAUCGACCACGGGUUAGGCGGUCCUAAGGGGAAGCCGAAAGGCGCACCUGACGGGCAGUGGGUUAAUAUUCCCACCCUACCUAGGGGUUCUGAAGGGUGACGAAGAGGAGUAGUUGGGAGGGAUUAUUGGCUUUCCCUCAGCCGGAUUUUCCGGGGUUCCUGAUGAAUCCUCUUCCUAGAAAAGCCCGUAGGGUUAACUCCUAGGUAACCGUACCGCAAACCGACACAGGUGGGCUGGUAGAGAAUACCAAGGCCAACGGGUGAAAGCUGGGGAAGGAACUCGGCAAAAAAGCUACCCGUAACUUCGGGAGAUGGGUUGCCAGCGCUUCGCUAUCGCGAAGCGGAGUAAUUAGUAAAUUAGUACGGUCGCUUUCGCGACCUUUAGUAAAUUAGCAUUUAUUUGCUAAUUUACUAAUCAGCUAAAUUACUAAUCAACUAAUUACUACGGCUCGCGGUAGCGAGGCGUCUGGUCGCAGCGAAAGUUUCCCUGGGGACUGUUUAACAAAAACACAGGUCCCUGCUAAAAAGCGAAAGCUGAUGUAUAGGGGCUGAGGCCUGACCAGCGCCCGUGUGUUACGGCUGGGGAUUCCUGGAGUUUUUCUGGGAGUUCACCGGCUCAAGCCACGGGUAAGCGUCGGCGGUAACUCUGACCGUCCGAAGGUAGCGUAAUCCCUUGUCGGGUAAGUUCCGGCCUGCAUGAAAGGCUUAACCACUGGGGAACUGUCUCCCCCAGCUGCCCGGUGAAAAUACAGUGGGUGUGAAGAUGCACCCUACCCGCGGCUAGACGGAAAGACCCCGGCAGCUUUACUGCUAGGUGGUAUUGAACUUUGGUUUCUGGUGCAUAGCGUAGCGGGGAGGCUAUGAAGGCAGGUCUCCGGGCCUGCUGGAGCCGCCAAUGGAACACCCGCCACUGGAGGCUAAAGUUCUAACUCAACUUUAGCUUAGGGCAAAAACCAAGCUAAGGUGGGAACAGUGCCACCGAGGCAGUUUAGAUGGGGCAUCUGCCCUCUAAAAAGUAACGAGGGCGCGCAUAAGGUCGGCUUGGGGCGGAUGGAAAUCGCCCUUAAAGUGCAAGGGCAUAAGCCGGCCUGACUGCGAUCUGGACGCAGAGAGCAGAGGGGAAACCCGGCCCUAGUGAACCGACCCUCCUUUGUAGGAAGGGGGGAGAUCAUCGGCCAAAAGUUACGCCGGGGAUAACAGACUGGUAGGGCCCGCGAGUUCACAUCUACGGCCCUGUUCGGCACCUCGAUGUCGGCUCGUCUCAUCCUGGGGGUGGAGAAGCUCCCAAGGGUUGGGCUGUUCGCCCAUUAAAGAGACCCGUGAGUUGGGUUCAGUACGUCGUGAGACAGUACGGUCCCUAUCUACCGCGGGCGUCUGGGGACUUGAGGGGAGUGGCCCCUAGUACGAGAGGACCGGGGUCAACUGACCUCUGGCGUAUGGGUUGUGGCGCCAGCCGCACAGCCCAGUAACCACGUCGGGACGGGAUAAGAGCUGAAAGCAUCUAAGCUCGAAGCCCACCCCAAGAUUAGGUCCCCUUGAGCCAGGUUGGAGACUACGACCUUGAUAGGGCGCACCUGUAAGUCCCGUAAGGGAUUGAGGGGAGCGCUACUAAUUGGCGAAUUGGCUCUUGA